AACAAACGACUCCAUUAAAUAUAUCCAGGGAGAAUACUUCAGAAAAUUAACGAAUCCAUAUGCUUAAUGCUGAAUGACACAUCAAUGUGUGCACUGGCUCAGAUCAAUCGUAAUCACAACAUCCCUCCAGUAGUAUGUACAUUUGCUAAGUUUUUAUAGUGACAGAGAAUAAUAGCAUGACAUACGUACAUUCAAAACUCGACCAGUUUCCAUUGCUAUCAUGCCCAAGGGAAUUGUCACAGAUCUACUGAUCCUAAGUUACUUUGAUCCCAGCAUUAUCAACGUAGCAGACACAAGCAAAAUGGUAGAUUCUGAUUUUCCCACCUGGGUGCAUCCAUCUUGCCCGUCGAUAGGAGGAGAGCUCUUCCUUCUGCCCUGAAAACGUCGAUCCCUGGAGGAAGGACUUCCAUCCACGUCCUCACCAAAGGGACCUGUAAAAGCACAAAAACACAAGCGGGAAACAACGCAAGACCAAAGGAAACAUCAAUUUCCACCGCUCACAUCAACUUUUCUUACCAUCUCAUCGGUUGCGGAAGGAAAGCCUCGCGGCCCGUGCCGCGGCCGCGGACACUCCCUGCCCCGGCGACGAUGGCGGACGACGAGUCAGGGGCCCCGACCAGGUAGGCGUGCUGGAUGAGGUCGAUGCCGGCAGGUGGGGCGGAGGGGCAGCAACGGAGGAGGAAGAGGUGGAUCCGCGACGACAGCAAUGGAUCCACGAAGAAGUGUGUACAAUGAGAUACACUACUAGAAACAAAUGAUUAUAAUUCCCUAAAGAAGUGUGUACAUAGAAAUUAUAGCCAGACAACUUACUGUAAGCAUGGGCUCCCACAUGGCAAAAUCAUUAUUCCGUUCUGAUAAGACCAGCAAAAUAUCAUAGACUGAUACCAAGAAAACGCCAGAGCGGCAGAAAAUAUUGAUCAAUUAUUGGUUACUGGCAAGACAAAAGGUAGAAGGAACCAUAGUAUAAGUAAAAAGGGAACCACAAUUUAAGUACAAUGGAACCAUAUGAGUAUAUGAAUGCAGUUAAGGGGGAGCUUGUGUCGUAUCCAUAAUGCUCGUUCGCGGUGGUUGACUUGCCAGACCAGGUGGACCGAUUAUCCCAAUCACCAUGAAAUCAUUGUUCUCCAUCAAAUACUUCAAAAAAGGAAAAAGUAAAAAACACGAGUUCAAUUUUUCAUGCAUGCCAUUUAGCAACCAGUAAUUCUAAGUUUUAGUUGUAACGUAAACAUAUAGGACGCAAGUAUCAAUAGCCGGAUUGUAUAUAUGUCAAGAACAACUGUGUGCAAUACAAGGUAUAGCUCCACACAUAAUUCUAGUGUACACUAUACAUAUAUAGGUUAAGAACUACUGUGUACUGACCAGCCCUUCUGAAAUCCCUGGUCCUAUGUGAUAACAUACACGAAAAAUCCUGCUAACCUGGAAGGUUGUGGGCACUGCUGAACCAAAUGUUGAAUUCAGAGAGAAGGAAGCAACAAACGACUCCAUUAAAUAUAUCCAGGGAGAAUACUUCAGAAAAUUAACGAAUCCAUAUGCUUAAUGCUGAAUGACACAUCAAUGUGUGCACUGGCUCAGAUCAAUCGUAAUCACAACAUCCCUUCAGUAGUAUGUACAUUUGCUAAGUUUUUGUAGUGACAGAGAAUAAUAGCAUGACAUACGUACAUUCAAAACCCGACCAGUUUCCAUUGCUAUCAUGCCCAAGGGAAUUGUCACAGAUCUACUGAUCCUAAGUUACUUUGAUCCCAGCAUUAUCAACGUAGCAGACACAAGCAAAAUGGUAGAUUCUGAUUUUCCCACCUGGGUGCAUCCAUCUUGCCCGUCGAUAGGAGGAGAGCUCUUCCUUCUGCCCUGAAAACGUCGAUCCCUGGAGAAAGGACUUCCAUCCACGUCCUCACCAAAGGGACCUGUAAAAGCACAAAAACACAAGCGGGA
This 1929-nucleotide long non-coding RNA is filed under the name Triticum aestivum (bread wheat). Its description in RNAcentral is "long non-coding RNA (TAES_LNC005525)". The record is from RNAcentral. Lineage: Eukaryota; Viridiplantae; Streptophyta; Magnoliopsida; Poales; Poaceae.